This 369-nucleotide ribosomal RNA is filed under the name uncultured organism. RNAcentral's name for it is "bacterial SSU rRNA". It matches the Rfam family "Bacterial small subunit ribosomal RNA", at positions 526 to 896 of the family's 1533-position model. The record is from RNAcentral.
CGGAGGGUGCAAGCGUUAUCCGGAUUCACGUGGGUUUAAAGGGAGCGUAGGUGGGCUGGUAAGUCAGUGGUGAAAUCCCCGAGCUUAACUUGGGAACUGCCAUUGAUACUAUCAGUCUUGAAUACUGUGGAGGUAAGCGGAAUAUAUCAUGUAGCGGUGAAAUGCUUAGAUAUGAUAUAGAACACCAAUAGCGAAGGCAGCUUACUACGCAGUUAUUGACACUGAGGCUCGAAAGCGUGGGGAUCAAACAGGAUUAGAUACCCUGGUAGUCCACGCCCUAAACUAUGGAUACUCGACAUCAGCGAUACACAGUUGGUGUCUGAGCGAAAGCAUUAAGUAUCCCACCUGGGAAGUACGUCCGCAAGGAUG